RNAcentral lists this long non-coding RNA (661 nucleotides) under Bos taurus (domestic cattle). RNAcentral describes it as "long non-coding RNA NONBTAT018590". The record is from RNAcentral. Lineage: Eukaryota; Metazoa; Chordata; Mammalia; Artiodactyla; Bovidae.
AUAUGUUAAAUGUCCUAUUAGACUACUUAUAUUUCCUAUUAUCAUGUUUUAUAAAUAGAGCUCCACAGUAUUUGAAUUUUAUAACCACAUUUUAAUUCACAGCCUUUGAGAUGAAUUGUAUUUUGUGUGGUCAUUCCUAAAAGCAGGUAGAUAAUUUAGACUUGUGGCAAGUUUCUAGGAGGCAUUGAGGAACUAAAGGGCAUCAUACACUGUUUAGGAGGGCAGGGAAGAAAAGGAGGAAGCAAUAAAAGUCAGAAGGGGAGCAGAGCUGUGGAAGAAAAGCAGGCAGCAGAGACAAGUGCAAAAUACUAAAUAUGCUAGAUAUCAUUUCCUCAGAUGUAUUAGCUCCCCUUUACAUUUAAUGCCAAAUUAAAUUCCACCAGACUUUUAAGAAAUUGUUCAUCGUUUAGAGCUUUUGAUGCGAAAACUGUAGCCAGCUGAUUAAUCCCUUUUAUUUUAGAUUUGAAGUACUGAAAUAAAAAUGGAUUUAUAUCUUCUUAAAAUUAAAUUGCUUUUUCUUCAAUCAUUUUGUGUGUAGCAGAAGCACAUGAAAAAGCAAGUCAGAUGAAGAUAGAAUUAUUAAGUCAUGGUGCUAUAGGACAGAGGUGAAAGGUAGGGAGACGAUCCAUUCUUUAAUUUUCAGGUCUAUUUGCUCUCUUUA